GAAAUGCGAUAAGUAAUGUGAAUUGCAGAAUUCAGUGAAUCAUCGAAUCUUUGAACGCACCUUGCGCUCCUUGGUAUUCUUUGGAGCAUGCCUGUUUGAGUAUCAUGAAAUCUUCAAAGUAAAUCUUUUGUUAACUCAAUUGGUUUCUACUUUGGUAUUGGAGGUCUUUGCAGCUUCACACCUGCUCCUCUUUGUUCAUUAGCUGGAUCUCAGUGUUAUGCUUGGUUCCACUCGGCGUGAUAAGUUAUCUAUCGCUGAGGACACUGUAAAAGGUGGCCAAGGUAAAUGCAGAUGAUCCGCUUCUAAUAGUCCAUUGACUUGGACAAUACUUUUAUGAUCUGAUCUCAAAUCAGGUAGGACUACCCGCUGAACUUAAGC
RNAcentral lists this unclassified non-coding RNA (378 nucleotides) under plant metagenome. Its description in RNAcentral is "partial contains 5.8S ribosomal RNA, internal transcribed spacer 2, and large subunit ribosomal RNA". The stretch from base 1 to 105 matches the Rfam family "5.8S ribosomal RNA", at positions 50 to 154 of the family's 154-position model. The record is from RNAcentral.